CGUGCCAGCAGCCGCGGUAAUACGAAGGGGGCUAGCGUUGUUCGGAUUUACUGGGCGUAAAGGGUGCGUAGGCGGAUUGUUAAGUCAGGGGUGAAAUCCCGAGGCUCAACCUCGGAACUGCCUUUGAUACUGGCGAUCUUGAGUCUGGGAGAGGUGAGUGGAACUGCGAGUGUAGAGGUGAAAUUCGUAGAUAUUCGCAAGAACACCGGUGGCGAAGGCGGCUCACUGGCCCGGUACUGACGCUGAGGCACGAAAGCGUGGGGAGCAAACAGGAUUAGAUACCCUGGUAGUCCACGCCGUAAACGAUGA
RNAcentral lists this ribosomal RNA (309 nucleotides) under uncultured bacterium. Its description in RNAcentral is "bacterial SSU rRNA". It matches the Rfam family "Bacterial small subunit ribosomal RNA", at positions 504 to 812 of the family's 1533-position model. The record is from RNAcentral.